This 490-nucleotide ribosomal RNA is filed under the name uncultured bacterium. RNAcentral's name for it is "bacterial SSU rRNA". It matches the Rfam family "Bacterial small subunit ribosomal RNA", at positions 28 to 507 of the family's 1533-position model. The record is from RNAcentral.
GAUGAACGCUGGCGGCGUGCUUAACACAUGCAAGUCGAACGGAGUUUACAUGUGAGCGGAGGGUGCUUGCAUCUAACAAUCUUUUGUAAACUUAGUGGCGGACGGGUGAGUAACGCGUGGGUAACCUGCCGUAUACAGGGGGACAACAGUUGGAAACGACUGCUAAUACCGCAUAAGCGCACAGGACCGCAUGGUCCGGUGUGAAAAACUCCGGUGGUAUACGAUGGACCCGCGUCUGAUUAGCUAGUUGGUGAGGUAACGGCCCACCAAGGCGACGAUCAGUAGCCGGCCUGAGAGGGUGGACGGCCACAUUGGGACUGAGAUACGGCCCAGACUCCUACGGGAGGCAGCAGUGGGGAAUAUUGGGCAAUGGGCGCAAGCCUGACCCAGCAACGCCGCGUGAAGGAAGAAGGCUUUCGGGUUGUAAACUUCUUUUGUCAGGGAAGAGUAGAAGACUGUACCUGGCGAAUAAGCCACGGCUAACUACGUG